This 485-nucleotide ribosomal RNA is filed under the name uncultured bacterium. RNAcentral describes it as "SSU rRNA". It matches the Rfam family "Bacterial small subunit ribosomal RNA", at positions 26 to 518 of the family's 1533-position model. The record is from RNAcentral.
AGAGCGAACGCUGGCGGCGUGCUUAACACAUGCAAGUCGAACGCGCAGCAUUCUGUAGCAAUACAGGGUGUGGGCGCGUGGCGAACGGGUGCGUGACACGUGGAUAACCUUCCUUCGGGUGGGGAAUAACCCAGUGAAAAUUGGGCUAAUACCGCAUAACAUCGCGAUGGCACAUGCCGUUGCGUUCAAAGGCGCAAGUCGCCAGAAGAGGGAUCCGCGGCCGAUUAGCUUGUUGGCGGGGUAACGGCCCACCAAGGCUUUGAUCGGUAGCCGGCCUGAGAGGGUGUCCGGCCACACUGGGACUGAGAUACGGCCCAGACUCCUACGGGAGGCAGCAGUGGGGAAUAUUGCACAAUGGGCGCAAGCCUGAUGCAGCGACGCCGCGUGAGGGAUGACGGCCUUCGGGUUGUAAACCUCUUCAGUAUCGACGAAGCGCAAGUGACGGUAGGUACAGAGAAGCACCGGCACUACGUGCCAGCAGCCGA